Molecule: ribosomal RNA, 305 nt
Filed under: uncultured bacterium
Lineage: Bacteria
Description: bacterial SSU rRNA
Rfam family: Bacterial small subunit ribosomal RNA
Source: RNAcentral
CUGACCUACGGGGGGCAGCAGUCGGGAAUAUUGCGCAAUGGAGGAAACUCUGACGCAGUGACGCCGCGUAUAGGAAGAAGGUUUUCGGAUUGUAAACUAUUGUCGUUAGGGAAGAUAAAAGACUGUACCUAAGGAGGAAGCCCCGGCUAAUUACGUGCCAGCAGCCGCGGUAAUACGUAGGGGGCAAGCGUUAUCCGGAUUUACUGGGUGUAAAGGGAGCGUAGACGGCAUGGCAAGUCAGAUGUGAAAGCCCGGGGCUCAACCCCGGGACUGCAUUUGAAACUGUCAGGCUGGAGUGCAGGAGG